GCAAAAAGCUCCGGGAGGUGGGGUAAUACCGCAUACGCCCUACGGGGGAAAGAUUUAUCGGGGAAGGAUGGGCCCGCGUUGGAUUAGCUAGUUGGUGGGGUAAAGGCCUACCAAGGCGACGAUCCAUAGCUGGUCUGAGAGGAUGAUCAGCCACAUUGGGACUGAGACACGGCCCAAACUCCUACGGGAGGCAGCAGUGGGGAAUAUUGGACAAUGGGCGCAAGCCUGAUCCAGCCAUGCCGCGUGAGUGAUGAAGGCCUUAGGGUUGUAAAGCUCUUUCACGGGAGAAGAUAAUGACGGUAUCCGGAGAAGAAGCCCCGGCUAACUUCGUGCCAGCAGCCGCGGUAAUACGAAGGGGGCUAGCGUUGUUCGGAAUUACUGGGCGUAAAGCGCACGUAGGCGGAUAUUUAAGUCAGGGGUGAAAUCCCAGAGCUCAACUCUGGAACUGCCUUUGAUACUGGGUAUCUUGAGUAUGGAAGAGGUAAGUGGAAUUCCGAGUGUAGAGGUGAAAUUCGUAGAUAUUCGGAGGACCACCAGUGGCGAAGGCGGCUUACUGUCCAUUACUGACGCUGAGGUGCGAAAGCGUGGGAGCAAACAGGAUUAGAUACCCUGUUAGUCCACGCCGUAAACGAUGAAUGUUAGCCGUCGGGCAGUAUACUGUUCGGUGGCGCAGCUAACGCAUUAAAAAUUCCGCCGAGGGAGUACGGUCGCAAGAUUAAAACUCAAAGGAAUUGACGGGGGCCCGCACAAGCGGUGGAGCAUGUGCUUA
Molecule: ribosomal RNA, 769 nt
Filed under: Rhizobium sp. LR7
Lineage: Bacteria; Pseudomonadati; Pseudomonadota; Alphaproteobacteria; Hyphomicrobiales; Rhizobiaceae
Description: bacterial SSU rRNA
Rfam family: Bacterial small subunit ribosomal RNA
Source: RNAcentral